This 72-nucleotide transfer RNA is filed under the name Chelonia mydas (Green sea turtle). It matches the Rfam family "tRNA". From Rfam's summary of the family: Transfer RNA (tRNA) molecules are approximately 80 nucleotides in length. Their secondary structure includes four short double-helical elements and three loops (D, anti-codon, and T loops). Further hydrogen bonds mediate the characteristic L-shaped molecular structure. tRNAs have two regions of fundamental functional importance: the anti-codon, which is responsible for specific mRNA codon recognition, and the 3' end, to which the tRNAs corresponding amino acid is attached (by aminoacyl-tRNA synthetases). tRNAs cope with the degeneracy of the genetic code in two manners: having more than one tRNA (with a specific anti-codon) for a particular amino acid; and 'wobble' base-pairing, i.e. permitting non-standard base-pairing at the 3rd anti-codon position. The record is from Rfam by way of RNAcentral. Lineage: Eukaryota; Metazoa; Chordata; Testudines; Cheloniidae.
GGCAGUGUUGUCUAACGGUUAGAACACUGGACUGGGACUCAGGAGAUCUGGAAUCUGUUCCCAGCUCUGCCA